CGCCUCUCCCUCGAGGCUCGACACAGCGGCCGCCGGGCCACGGGGCGUCCCAGCCGGGUCUUUGUCCCUUGGAGGAACUGCGAUCAAAAGACGUUGUGCUUUAGCGGUCUCAAGGUGCUGCACACGUGGCAGUAAAGGUUCCUAUGUGGGAUGCUGAGCUGUAAAUUUGGCUGCUACUAAAAAACAAACGCCGCUGACAGCUUCCGAGGGCAUUGCGUUCCACCCAGCUACACCGGUACUGAGGCCAACAACUUCUGCUUGUGUUCAACUAAAGCAACAUUUCUCCUUAUGGAAAGUAUUCUGGUUUUCCUUUCUCUGCUGGAAGAAACUGAGCAACUGCUUCCAGCUCCAGGGAACAUGCAUUGGCGAGUACUGUAUUUCCAGAAAGUUUGAUUAAAUCUGAACUAAAGCAGUUCUUCCGUAAAGACAUGUUGUACUCAAGAAAGCACUGAAAAAUGAAGGAUCCACCAUAUUUCUUCAUGACUUGUCUACAGAAAGACUGAGCUAAAUCAGCAACUAGAGUGUAUAUACACUGGGCUGCCAGCUAAAAGAAGUAUUGCCCACAGCCGAGUGUGUGGAGAAAAAAAACCUUGGCAGGACAAUGUUCUGACUGACUCCUGAAUGUUUCUGUUUUCAACACUCAACUGAAUGAGUAGAAACUGAGGCUCUGCAGAGAACAGUUUGCAGAACAAGCUACCCUAUGCAUCUGAGAAUAAACCUGCAGGUAAAAAGAAACCAUCUCCUAUUGCUGCUCCCAAUCUGACUUCAUUCUUAGAAGAUCCAUCAAGAUACCUCUGACCAGCACAGUCCAGUGUAAUUUGGGUCUGCACAUGUCCAACAUGUUUUUUGCCUAGCUACUGAAUGGAGGCAGCACUGGUGUUAUUGACAGAACUCAUGUGGGGAACACACGGCGUUGGGCUGCUUGUAUCAGAGAGCAGCCAGUGUUACUCUGAGACAGGAGCCACUGGUGGAUCUCUGGAAGGCAGUCACUCUCUCCCCUUCCUUCUGGGUCUCUGAACGCUUUUGCAUUUAAAGCCGCUCUGGGCAGAACUUUAUAGCUUAUUUUUGGAUGCCAGUGAAAGAGCUAUUUGUCAAACCUUUAACUUCAGGUUGGUCAGCACAAUUUUCUGAAAAUUUAUACAGCGUUCAGUCUUUAUGUGCCAAGUAUGAAUUGCCUGCAGAGAACUACACUGCACUUACAGCAAUUGCACUUGAACUGUCAUGUUCUAGGUGGAAUCUCAAAUGUUUACUAAUCAGACAACAAGCCUUCCACAGUUCACUGUAUGAAUACCUUAAAUCUCAGCCUCUCCCACCACAGUGAAGGAAAUCAAGUGGAAACUCUGGAGCAAGUUGCUGUGUGUCCAUGACAUGCUGCAGCCAUUCACCAAGCAAAGACUUUUAAAAUCCUAUGCAAUAUAUUACAUCAGCAAAGACCUCUAAGAACAAAAAUACAGAUGGUAUUUUAUAGCUUUGACAUAUAUAAAACACACUCAGCUAGCAUAUAUUUUGCUAGAUCAUGUGAAGAAACGUUCUGUACUCCAUCAAUUACUGGUAUUGGGUAAAUCAAGUACAGAAUGAAGAACUCAGAAAAAAUUUACAUAUAUGCAAUUCAGACAGAACAUACUAGUAGCAAAUGAAGUUGCAGUCCAAAACUGAAUUAACAUACUGUGCUGGUUUUGACUGGAAUAGAAUUAAUUUUCUUCAUAGUAGCUAUUAUGGGGCUGUGUUUUGGAUUUGUGCUGGAAACGGUGUUAAUAUAGGGGUGUUUUUGUUAUCCUUGAGCAGAACUUACAGCGAAGGCCUCUUCUCCUUCUCACCCCACUCCACCCACAAGGGGGCUGGGGGUGCACAAGGAGCUGGGAGGGGACACAGCUGAGACAGCUGACCCUAACUGCCCACAGGAACAUCCCAGAUCCUAUGAUGACAAGCUCAACACAUUAAGCUGGGGGAAGAAGGAAGGGGGGAAUGUUUGGAGUGAUGGCAUUUGUCUUCCAAAAUAACUUAGGAGCCCCACAUUCCUGGAGAUGGCUGAACACCUGACUGCCAACGGGAAGUCGUGAAUUAAUUCCUUGUUUUGCUUUGUUUGUG
Neopelma chrysocephalum (saffron-crested tyrant-manakin) is the source of this 2088-nucleotide long non-coding RNA. RefSeq lists it as uncharacterized. Lineage: Eukaryota; Metazoa; Chordata; Aves; Passeriformes; Pipridae. The transcript is spliced from 4 exons. The record is from RefSeq and is a predicted model, not a curated record.